GAACGGUCUUUUCGGAGAUAGUGGCGGACGGGUGAGUAACGCGUGAGAAUCUGCCUUCAGGUCGGGGACAACCACUGGAAACGGUGGCUAAUACGGAUAAGCCGAGAGGUGAAAGGCUAGCUGCCUGAAGAUGAGCUCGCGUCUGAUUAGCUAGUUGGUAGGGUAAGAGCCUACCAAGGCGACGAUCAGUAGCUGGUCUGAGAGGAUGACCAGCCACACUGGGACUGAGACACGGCCCAGACUCCUACGGGAGGCAGCAGUGGGGAAUUUUCCGCAAUGGGCGAAAGCCUGACGGAGCAAUACCGCGUGAGGGAGGAAGGCUCUUGGGUUGUAAACCUCUUUUCUCAGGGAAGAAAAUUGACGGUACCUGAGGAAUAAGCAUCGGCUAACUCCGUGCCAGCAGCCGCGGUAAUACGGAGGAUGCAAGCGUUAUCCGGAAUGAUUGGGCGUAAAGGGUCCGCAGGUGGCUAUGUAAGUCUGCUGUUAAAGAAUGAGGCUUAACCUCAUCAGAGCAGUGGAAACUACACAGCUAGAGUGCGUUCGGGGUAGAGGGAAUUCCUGGUGUAGCGGUGAAAUGCGUAGAUAUCAGGAAGAACACCAGUGGCGAAAGCGCUCUACUAGGCCGCAACUGACACUGAGGGACGAAAGCUAGGGGAGCGAAUGGGAUUAGAUACCCCAGUAGUCCUAGCCGUAAACGAUGGAUACUAGGCGUGGCUUGUAUCGACCCGAGCCGUGCCGGAGCUAACGCGUUAAGUAUCCCGCCUGGGGAGUACGCACGCAAGUGUGAAACUCAAAGGAAUUGACGGGGGCCCGCACAAGCGGUGGAGUAUGUGGUUUAAUUCGAUGCAACGCGAAGAACCUUACCAAGACUUGACAUGUCGCGAAUCCUGCCGAAAGGUGGGAGUGCCUU
Molecule: ribosomal RNA, 910 nt
Filed under: Umezakia natans TAC101
Lineage: Bacteria; Bacillati; Cyanobacteriota; Cyanophyceae; Nostocales; Nodulariaceae
Description: bacterial SSU rRNA
Rfam family: Bacterial small subunit ribosomal RNA
Source: RNAcentral